Molecule: ribosomal RNA, 253 nt
Filed under: uncultured bacterium
Lineage: Bacteria
Description: partial 16S ribosomal RNA
Rfam family: Bacterial small subunit ribosomal RNA
Source: RNAcentral
CACGUAGGGCGCAAGCGUUGUCCGGAAUUAUUGGGCGUAAAGAGCUCGUAGGCGGUCUGUUGCGUCCGCUGUGAAAACUCGGGGCUUAACCCCGAGCCUGCAGUGGAUACGGGCAGACUAGAGGUAGGUAGGGGAGAAUGGAAUUCCCGGUGUAGCGGUGAAAUGCGCAGAUAUCGGGAGGAACACCUGUGGCGAAAGCGGCGCACUGGACCACAACUGACGCUGAGGCGCGAAAGCUAGGGGAGCAAACAGG